GAUGAACGCUAGCGGCAGGCCUAAUACAUGCAAGUCGAGGGGUAACAGGGGUAGUAAUAUCUGCUGACGACCGGCGCACGGGUGCGUAACACGUAUACAAUCUGCCUUUAACAGGGGGAUAGCCCGGAGAAAUCCGGAUUAAUACCCCACUAACAAUGGAAGAAGCAUUUCUUCUAUUUAAAGACUCAGGCGGUUAGAGAUGAGUAUGCGUCUGAUUAGCUAGUUGGUAAGGAACGGCUUACCAAGGCAACGAUCAGUAGGGGAUCUGAGAGGAUUAACCCCCACCACGGA
RNAcentral lists this ribosomal RNA (291 nucleotides) under uncultured bacterium. RNAcentral describes it as "partial 16S ribosomal RNA". It matches the Rfam family "Bacterial small subunit ribosomal RNA", at positions 28 to 317 of the family's 1533-position model. The record is from RNAcentral.